CCCCGGUAAACGGCGGCCGUAACUAUAACGGUCCUAAGGUAGCGAAAUUCCUUGUCGGGUAAGUUCCGACCUGCACGAAUGGCGUAAUGAUGGCCAGGCUGUCUCCACCCGAGACUCAGUGAAAUUGAACUCGCUGUGAAGAUGCAGUGUACCCGCGGCAAGACGGAAAGACCCCGUGAACCUUUACUAUAGCUUGACACUGAACAUUGAGCCUUGAUGUGUAGGAUAGGUGGGAGGCUUUGAAGUGUGGACGCCAGUCUGCAUGGAGCCGACCUUGAAAUACCACCCUUUAAUGUUUGAUGUUCUAACGUGGACCCGUAAUCCGGGUUGCGGACAGUGUCUGGUGGGUAGUUUGACUGGGGCGGUCUCCUCCUAAAGAGUAACGGAGGAGCACGAAGGUUGGCUAAUCCUGGUCGGACAUCAGGAGGUUAGUGCAAUGGCAUAAGCCAGCUUGACUGCGAGCGUGACGGCGCGAGCAGGUGCGAAAGCAGGUCAUAGUGAUCCGGUGGUUCUGAAUGGAAGGGCCAUCGCUCAACGGAUAAAAGGUACUCCGGGGAUAACAGGCUGAUACCGCCCAAGAGUUCAUAUCGACGGCGGUGUUUGGCACCUCGAUGUCGGCUCAUCACAUCCUGGGGCUGAAGUAGGUCCCAAGGGUAUGGCUGUUCGCCAUUUAAAGUGGUACGCGAGCUGGGUUUAGAACGUCGUGAGACAGUUCGGUCCCUAUCUGCCGUGGGCGCUGGAGAACUGAGGGGGGC
This 755-nucleotide ribosomal RNA is filed under the name Salmonella enterica subsp. enterica serovar Typhimurium. RNAcentral's name for it is "partial 23S ribosomal RNA". It matches the Rfam family "Bacterial large subunit ribosomal RNA", at positions 1918 to 2672 of the family's 2925-position model. Lineage: Bacteria; Pseudomonadati; Pseudomonadota; Gammaproteobacteria; Enterobacterales; Enterobacteriaceae. The record is from RNAcentral.